RNAcentral lists this microRNA precursor (225 nucleotides) under Medicago truncatula (barrel medic). RNAcentral's name for it is "MIR2630 microRNA precursor family". It matches the Rfam family "MIR2630 microRNA precursor family". The record is from Rfam by way of RNAcentral. Lineage: Eukaryota; Viridiplantae; Streptophyta; Magnoliopsida; Fabales; Fabaceae.
GCUUGCAAAUAUACCAUUUUUUGCUUUUGGUCCCUGGUGUUUUAUUUUAGUCCUUGAAAAGUUGGUUCAUGUUGAAAUUGGUCGCAAUAUUCAUUUUAGUUUUUAUUUUGAGGAAUUAAAACCAAAUAUUCUGCAUAUUACAGCAUCCGGUUCCAAUAUGAAUAAAUUUUGUAGGGACUAAAACAAAACAAGGACCAAAAGCAAAAAAUUAUACAUUUGCAAGGA